ACGGCGAGUGAAGCGGUAACAGCUCAAAUUUGAAAGCUAGCUCUUUUAGGGUUCGCAUUGUAAUUUGUAGAAGAUGCUUCGGGUGUGGCCCCGGUCUAAGUUCCUUGGAACAGGACGUCAUAGAGGGUGAGAAUCCCGUAUGUGACUGGGUGCUUUCGCUCAUGUGAAGCUCUUUCGACGAGUCGAGUUGUUUGGGAAUGCAGCUCAAAAUGGGUGGUAAAUUUCAUCUAAAGCUAAAUAUUGGCCAGAGACCGAUAGCGCACAAGUAGAGUGAUCGAAAGAUGAAAAGCACUUUGGAAAGAGAGUUAAACAGUACGUGAAAUUGUUGAAAGGGAAGCGCUUGCAACCAGACUUGCGCGCUGAUGAUCAUCCGGGCUUCUGCCCGGUGCACUCGUCUGCGCUCAGGCCAGCAUCGGUUUCGGUGGUGGGAUAAAGGCCUUGGGAAUGUAGCUCCUCUCGGGGAGUGUUAUAGCCCUCGGUGCAAUGCCGCCUACCGGGACCGAGGACCGCGCUUCGGCUAGGAUGCUGGCGUAAUGGUUGUAAGCGACCCGUCUUGAAACACGGAC
RNAcentral lists this ribosomal RNA (566 nucleotides) under Cadophora luteo-olivacea. RNAcentral describes it as "partial large subunit ribosomal RNA". It matches the Rfam family "Eukaryotic large subunit ribosomal RNA", at positions 86 to 666 of the family's 3401-position model. The record is from RNAcentral. Lineage: Eukaryota; Fungi; Ascomycota; Leotiomycetes; Helotiales; Ploettnerulaceae.